Long non-coding RNA from Mytilus trossulus (common blue mussel), 450 nucleotides. RefSeq lists it as uncharacterized. The record is from RefSeq and is a predicted model, not a curated record. The transcript is spliced from 3 exons. NCBI's taxonomy places the organism in Eukaryota, Metazoa, Mollusca, Bivalvia, Mytilida, Mytilidae.
AUUGAAAUAUAAACCGGACAUAUUACCUAAUUAUGUUCACUACAUUUUAAGUUGCUUCUAUUGAAUUGAUACCUGAGUUGGAUCCGCCGUCACGAAGACGUUUUGUUAACGGACUACUGUGUAAACUGGGACUUAUUGGCACAGUACAGCAUUAGUACAAAUCUUGUUUGAGUCUUUUAUGCAUUUGGCUUUGAAGCGGAUUACGAGCCAUUUUGCACAUCUGAUUCAAUCUACUCUACACAGAAAUAAUCUACAUCUACAACUUGAUAAACAUAGAGACAUGCACUGAUGUUCAAUGAUUUCUCCCACCCGACUGUAAAAUGGGAACCGGGAAGUAAAAAUACAAACCCACCUCAGGUCGGAAUUAAAACAUCAAAUCGAUGGCUCGUCAGAAGGUAGAGUUUUGCGCUCUCCGCACUCUUUUUAUUUAUAGUUGCUGCUUAUCAGGAA